RNAcentral lists this ribosomal RNA (659 nucleotides) under uncultured bacterium. RNAcentral's name for it is "bacterial SSU rRNA". It matches the Rfam family "Bacterial small subunit ribosomal RNA", at positions 8 to 664 of the family's 1533-position model. The record is from RNAcentral.
AGAGUUUGAUCCUGGCUCAGGACGAACGCUGGCGGCGUGCUUAACACAUGCAAGUCGAACGGAGUGCCUAUGACAGAGGUUUCGGCCAAUUGAUUAGGUUACUUAGUGGCGGACUGGUGAGUAACGCGUGAGGAACCUGCCUUUCAGAGGGGGACAACAGUUGGAAACGACUGCUAAUACCGCAUGAUACAUUUGGGCGGCAUCGCUUGAAUGUCAAAGAUUUUAUCGCUGAAAGAUGGCCUCGCGUCUGAUUAGAUAGUUGGCGGGGUAACGGCCCACCAAGUCGACGAUCAGUAGCCGGACUGAGAGGUUGACCGGCCACAUUGGGACUGAGAUACGGCCCAGACUCCUACGGGAGGCAGCAGUGGGGAAUAUUGGGCAAUGGACGCAAGUCUGACCCAGCAACGCCGCGUGAAGGAAGAAGGCUUUCGGGUUGUAAACUUCUUUUAAGGGGGAAGAGCAGAAGACGGUACCCCUUGAAUAAGCCACGGCUAACUACGUGCCAGCAGCCGCGGUAAUACGUAGGUGGCAAGCGUUGUCCGGAUUUACUGGGUGUAAAGGGCGUGUAGCCGGGCCGACAAGUCAGAUGUGAAAUCCACGGGCUUAACCCGUGAACUGCAUUUGAAACUGUUGGUCUUGAGUAUCGGAGAGGUAACCGG